UACGAAGGGGGCUAGCGUUGCUCGGAAUCACUGGGCGUAAAGGGUGCGUAGGCGGGUCUUUAAGUCAGGGGGGAAAUCCUGGAGCUCAACUCCAGAACUGCCUUUGAUACUGAAGAUCUUGAGUUCGGGAGAGGUGAGUGGAACUGCGAGUGUAGAGGUGAAAUUCGUAGAUAUUCGCAAGAGCACCAGUGGCGAAGGCGGCUCACUGGCCCGAUACUGACGCUGAGGCACGAAAGCGUGGGGAGCAAACAGG
RNAcentral lists this ribosomal RNA (253 nucleotides) under uncultured bacterium. Its description in RNAcentral is "partial 16S ribosomal RNA". It matches the Rfam family "Bacterial small subunit ribosomal RNA", at positions 524 to 776 of the family's 1533-position model. The record is from RNAcentral.